ACGGGAGGCAGCAGUGAGGAAUAUUGGUCAAUGGGCGGAAGCCUGAACCAGCCAAGUCGCGUGAAGGAUGAAGGUAUUAUGUAUUGUAAACUUCUUUAGACGUAGAGAAAUAAGGGGAUCGUGAUCCCUGAUGCUAGUAUACGUAGAAUAAGGAUCGGCUAACUCCGUGCCAGCAGCCGCGGUAAUACGGAGGAUCCGAGCGUUAUCCGGAUUUAUUGGGUUUAAAGGGUGCGCAGGCGGCUUUUUAAGUCAGUGGUUAAAUCGUGGAGCUUAACUCCAUCCCGCCAUUGAUACUGGAGAGCUUGAUUGCGGUUGAGGUUGGCGGAAUUCGCCGUGUAGCGGUGAAAUGCAUAGAUAUGGCGAAGAACUCCGAUUGCGUAGGCAGCUGACCAAGCCGUAAAUGACGCUCAUGCACGAAAGUGCGGGGAUCGAACAGGAUUAGAUACCCUGGUA
RNAcentral lists this ribosomal RNA (453 nucleotides) under uncultured Porphyromonadaceae bacterium. Its description in RNAcentral is "partial 16S ribosomal RNA". It matches the Rfam family "Bacterial small subunit ribosomal RNA", at positions 341 to 792 of the family's 1533-position model. The record is from RNAcentral. Lineage: Bacteria; Pseudomonadati; Bacteroidota; Bacteroidia; Bacteroidales; Porphyromonadaceae.